This 496-nucleotide ribosomal RNA is filed under the name uncultured bacterium. RNAcentral describes it as "partial 16S ribosomal RNA". It matches the Rfam family "Bacterial small subunit ribosomal RNA", at positions 28 to 523 of the family's 1533-position model. The record is from RNAcentral.
GAUGAACGCUAGCGGCAGGCCUAAUACAUGCAAGUCGAGGGGUAGAAGAGGCUUGCUUCUUUGAGACCGGCGCACGGGUGCGUAACGCGUAUGCAACCUACCUUCAUCUGGGGGAUAGCCCGGAGAAAUCCGGAUUAAUACCGCAUAAAAUCACAGGAUGGCAUUAUCCAAUGAUCAAACAUUUAUGGGAUGGAGAUGGGCAUGCGUGUCAUUAGCUAGUUGGCGGGGUAACGGCCCACCAAGGCGACGAUGACUAGGGGAUCUGAGAGGAUGGCCCCCCACACUGGUACUGAGACCCGGACCAGACUCCUACGGGAGGCAGCAGUAAGGAAUAUUGGUCAAUGGAGGCAACUCUGAACCAGCCAUGCCGCGUUCAGGAAGACUGCCCUAUGGGUUGUAAACUGCUUUUACUCGGGAAUAAACCUUAUUACGUGUAAUAAGCUGAAUGUACCGAAGGAAUAAGGAUCGGCUAACUCCGUGCCAGCAGCCGCGGUAA